AAAAAAAAUAUCAGAUGUUCCCUAGAGUUCCCCUGAACACUUCAUUAGGGUUCCUCAUUUUGCACCUUGCUGAAGUGUUUGAGGAACGCCUGAAAUCAUUUGAUCAUAGUAUGUGGUGACAUGGCGUAGAGCAGCAGAAGACUUUUAUAAUAAAAGUAUUAGGGUUUCCAUGUUAAUUAAGAGUAUGGUGCUUCUGGAUUGAGAGGACAUAUGCAAGGUGUAAAAACUAUGGCAAUUUUUCUUUUCUUUUUUUUAUUAUUAUUAUUAUUUUUUUUCUUUUUUUUUUUUUUUUUUGGCAAUCCGUACUUUACAAAUUUUAAUGUGUCAUCGAUUUCAGGUUUUCUUCAAUAGUCCCC
This 356-nucleotide long non-coding RNA is filed under the name Olea europaea subsp. europaea. Lineage: Eukaryota; Viridiplantae; Streptophyta; Magnoliopsida; Lamiales; Oleaceae. The record is from RNAcentral.